UGCAGUUGGCUGUUGCAGCCUGUAUUGCAGAGCUUAUGACCUGCUUUCACAUGCAGCAGAUUCUCCCAUAAAUUCUGAUUCAUAUCCAGCAGCUGAAUCCUGGGUCUUGCUGGAUAUUCUUUAUUCGCUUUGUUUCGAUUUUGUCGCCUUGAGCUGAAUAAACUUCACGAAGCUGAUGCCUGGCCGAUCUGUGAGAUCCUGCCAGACCUGCUGAGCUGUUCCAGCAACUUCUGUUUUUGUUUCUGCCUCAUGAAGAUCUGUGGGUACAAUUUAAAGAAGAGAAGGGAAUUUUCAUGGCAACAUUACAUACCCCUCUAGAGGUGCAAAGAACUGAGUAAUUGAUCCUUCACCUUACUGGCUGCGCGUGAGUUUAAAACUUACUUACCCAGCAGUGGCUGUACUUCAAAAGAAAUCUAUAUUGGCCAUGUGAAUUGGAAGAGGUUUUCCGGGACUACACCAAAACUAGCGUGACUGAGUUCAGGAAGACCAAGUCUACGUAUAGCCUAACGAGUAGUUAUUAAAGGAGCUUCUACAUGCCAUGACCAAAAAGAAUUGUAAAAAGAAGGGGACAUUUCCUGGAAAGUAAUCUGAUCUGAAGGAAAUGGAAGAAAUUUCACAUGAUCAAAGGAAAAAGGCCAAAGAAGAGAAGGAAUCUGUUGACAAGACAAAAGUGCAAAAAUUAAAUGCAUAUCAAAGUGAUGCAUGGCAAAAAGCUGUCUUUGAAGAGAGAAAAAUAAGGUCUGUGUUCCUGCCUGUCGUUGCCUAGGAGAUGAGCACAGGGCCUCAGUCAGGGAGUUCUGUGUGCAGGCAUUUUAGAACAAUGAGUUUCAACAAGCUCAGUAUAGAAAAAAAGACAUGGCAGACACCAAGAAGAUUAGAUGACAAUUCAGACUCAAUUAUUGAAUUGAAAUUAAGUGCUAUAUCUAAGACACUGUUUAUUGAAUCAAAGAUUGGAACAGUGCCUACAUCACUAAGUCCAUUUCAAACAGAUGUUUCUUUACUUUCCUCAAGGCACUGUGGGACCAAGAAAAAAAUGAAACUGAUUUCACUCGAUGUAGCACUCUCGCCUUGGAAGGCAGGCUUGAAUACACAACAUAUGGACUAAGAGUACUAAAGGAGUGCUGCACUGCCAGAGAUGUAUUUUCCCAACUGAAAUGUUAAACUGAGGCCUGAUUUUCUCACUCAAAUAGACAGAAAACAUGCCAUUAUUCAAAGAAGAACAUUUAUUUUCCCAAGUGGCCUGGUCAACAUUCAACCCUUCAUCAUUAAAACAGUUUUAUCUAGUCAUUUAUGUAAUUUCUAUUUUUGGAAAUUUAUUGUUCACAAAUUGGCUGUCAUAUUUACCUACAAUAUAAC
Molecule: non-coding RNA, 1356 nt
Organism: Chiloscyllium plagiosum (whitespotted bambooshark)
Lineage: Eukaryota; Metazoa; Chordata; Chondrichthyes; Orectolobiformes; Hemiscylliidae
Source: RefSeq, a predicted model, not a curated record